RNAcentral lists this ribosomal RNA (147 nucleotides) under bacterium. RNAcentral's name for it is "partial 16S ribosomal RNA". It matches the Rfam family "Bacterial small subunit ribosomal RNA", at positions 338 to 479 of the family's 1533-position model. The record is from RNAcentral.
CCUACGGGAGGCAGCAGUGGGGAAUCUUGCGCAAUGGGCGAAAGCCUGACGCAGCAACGCCGCGUGAACGAUGAAGGCCUUCGGGUCGUAAAGUUCUGUCAGGGGGGACGAAGAUCUGACGUACCNCCGGACGACNGAGANGGNNNC